AGGACGAACGCUGGCGGCGUGCCUAAUACAUGCAAGUCGAGCGGACAGAAGGGAGCUUGCUCCCGGAUGUUAGCGGCGGACGGGUGAGUAACACGUGGGUAACCUGCCUGUAAGACUGGGAUAACUCCGGGAAACCGGAGCUAAUACCGGAUAGUUCCUUGAACCGCAUGGUUCAAGGAUGAAAGACGGUUUCGGCUGUCACUUACAGAUGGACCCGCGGCGCAUUAGCUAGUUGGUGGGGUAAUGGCUCACCAAGGCGACGAUGCGUAGCCGACCUGAGAGGGUGAUCGGCCACACUGGGACUGAGACACGGCCCAGACUCCUACGGGAGGCAGCAGUAGGGAAUCUUCCGCAAUGGACGAAAGUCUGACGGAGCAACGCCGCGUGAGUGAUGAAGGUUUUCGGAUCGUAAAGCUCUGUUGUUAGGGAAGAACAAGUGCGAGAGUAACUGCUCGCACCUUGACGGUACCUAACCAGAAAGCCACGGCUAACUACGUGCCAGCAGCCGCGGUAAUACGUAGGUGGCAAGCGUUGUCCGGAAUUAUUGGGCGUAAAGGGCUCGCAGGCGGUUUCUUAAGUCUGAUGUGAAAGCCCCCGGCUCAACCGGGGAGGGUCUAUUGGAAACUGGGAAACUUGAGUGCAGAAGAGGAGAGUGGAAAUUCCACGUGUAGCGGUGAAAAUGCGUAGAGAAUGUGGGAGGAACACCAGUGGCGAAGGCGACUCUCUGGUCUGUAACUGACGCUGAGGAGCGAAAGCGUGGGGAGCGAACAGGAUUAGAUACCCUGGUAGUCCACGCCGUAAACGAUGAGUGCUAAGUGUUAGGGGGUUUCCGCCCCUUAGUGCUGCAGCUAACGCAUUAAGCACUCCGCCUGGGGAGUACGGUCGCAAGACUGAAACUCAAAGGAAUUGACGGGGGCCCGCACAAGCGGUGGAGCAUGUGGUUUAAUUCGAAGCAACGCGAAGAACCUUACCAGGUCUUGACAUCCUCUGACAACCCUAGAGAUAGGGCUUUCCCUUCGGGGACAGAGUGACAGGUGGUGCAUGGUUGUCGUCAGCUCGUGUCGUGAGAUGUUGGGUUAAGUCCCGCAACGAGCGCAACCCUUGAUCUUAGUUGCCAGCAUUUAGUUGGGCACUCUAAGGUGACUGCCGGUGACAAACCGGAGGAAGGUGGGGAUGACGUCCAAUCAUCAUGCCCCUUAUGACCUGGGCUACACACGUGCUACAAUGGACAGAACAAAGGGCUGCGAGACCGCAAGGUUUAGCCAAUCCCAUAAAUCUGUUCUCAGUUCGGAUCGCAGUCUGCAACUCGACUGCGUGAAGCUGGAAUCGCUAGUAAUCGCGGAUCA
Molecule: ribosomal RNA, 1346 nt
Filed under: Bacillus sp. (in: firmicutes)
Lineage: Bacteria; Bacillati; Bacillota; Bacilli; Caryophanales; Bacillaceae
Description: bacterial SSU rRNA
Rfam family: Bacterial small subunit ribosomal RNA
Source: RNAcentral